RNAcentral lists this transfer RNA (82 nucleotides) under Christiangramia sabulilitoris. Its description in RNAcentral is "Gramella sp. HSMS-1 tRNA-Leu". It matches the Rfam family "tRNA". From Rfam's summary of the family: Transfer RNA (tRNA) molecules are approximately 80 nucleotides in length. Their secondary structure includes four short double-helical elements and three loops (D, anti-codon, and T loops). Further hydrogen bonds mediate the characteristic L-shaped molecular structure. tRNAs have two regions of fundamental functional importance: the anti-codon, which is responsible for specific mRNA codon recognition, and the 3' end, to which the tRNAs corresponding amino acid is attached (by aminoacyl-tRNA synthetases). tRNAs cope with the degeneracy of the genetic code in two manners: having more than one tRNA (with a specific anti-codon) for a particular amino acid; and 'wobble' base-pairing, i.e. permitting non-standard base-pairing at the 3rd anti-codon position. The record is from RNAcentral. Lineage: Bacteria; Pseudomonadati; Bacteroidota; Flavobacteriia; Flavobacteriales; Flavobacteriaceae. RNAcentral also lists the same sequence under 1 other name.
GCGGGCGUGGUGGAAUUGGUAGACACGCUAGACUUAGGAUCUAGUGCCGUGAGGUGUGGAGGUUCGAGUCCUCUCGCCCGCA